RNAcentral lists this ribosomal RNA (477 nucleotides) under uncultured bacterium. RNAcentral describes it as "partial 16S ribosomal RNA". It matches the Rfam family "Bacterial small subunit ribosomal RNA", at positions 30 to 507 of the family's 1533-position model. The record is from RNAcentral.
AUUGAACGCUGGCGGCAUGCCUUACACAUGCAAGUCGAACGGUAACAGGUUAAGCUGACGAGUGGCGAACGGGUGAGUAAUGUAUCGGAACGUGCCCAGUCGUGGGGGAUAACCGCUCGAAAGAGCAGCUAAUACCGCAUACGACCUGAGGGUGAAAGCGGGGGAUCGCAAGACCUCGCGCGAUUGGAGCGGCCGAUAUCAGAUUAGGUAGUUGGUGAGGUAAAGGCUCACCAAGCCGACGAUCUGUAGCUGGUCUGAGAGGACGACCAGCCACACUGGGACUGAGACACGGCCCAGACUCCUACGGGAGGCAGCAGUGGGGAAUUUUGGACAAUGGGCGCAAGCCUGAUCCAGCCAUGCCGCGUGCGGGAAGAAGGCCUUCGGGUUGUAAACCGCUUUUGUCAGGGAAGAAAAGGUUCUGGCUAAUACCUGGGACUCAUGACGGUACCUGAAGAAUAAGCACCGGCUAACUACGUG